Long non-coding RNA from Spinacia oleracea (spinach), 2348 nucleotides. RefSeq lists it as uncharacterized. The transcript is spliced from 2 exons. NCBI's taxonomy places the organism in Eukaryota, Viridiplantae, Streptophyta, Magnoliopsida, Caryophyllales, Amaranthaceae. The record is from RefSeq and is a predicted model, not a curated record.
GGUAGUUUUACAAAAAAGGCCAAAAUGUGCCGCAACCUAAGCUUGUUUCCAAAAUAAAACGAACAUUAAAAACAGAAAUACUAAACUAAAACCUAAGCAUACUGACAGUUAUGCAACUUUGGACUUCUUCCCUUUCGAUGCAGUAGAUGUUGGACCCUUCCUCUUUCUAGCACCAAAUGUUGAUGCACCAGCAGACCCAACAGCUAGGGGUGUGCAGAAUUUGACCGGGUCAAGAAUACGGUCCGGAUCCAAACCGGAAUUAUCCGGUCCGGUCCGGACUGGUGGAUUCAGGACCGGACACCGGUCCUAAAGAAUUUACGAUUCCGGAUUUAUGACCGGACCGGAUAAAAACCGGAAAAAUCCGAUCUGGACCCGGAAUCCGGAUUUUUGACAAAAAAUGAUAUGAAAUAGGUUUGAGAAGUAAAAACCCUAACAAAUAGUUAGCCGCCACCCAUCCAUUAUCACCUAGCGUCCACCGUCCACCACCAGUCACUACCUUCACAGAGACCCAUAAGAUCGUCGAUCUACUUCUACUCCCUCUUUGAAGCUUCACGCAUUGAUGCUAAUUGUUUGGUAAAUUGAGAGAAAGUAUUAAGUUUUGAGUUUUAAACUUCAUAAAUCAUGCUUCUUGAGUUCUUGUUAUACUCUUUUUUAGUAUUGAUCUUGUUAUAGGUAAUAUGAAAAUAUGAAAUUAUGGUUUUGAAGUUUUGGAUCUCGGUUAGAUCUUUGGUUUGGUGUUCUAGAUCUUUUACAAAUUAUAUUUUUUGAAAAAGUUUCACAACUGUUGUGAAGUAUUAAUGGAAUUCAUUUAACUUGUGAUUUUGGAUCUUGUUAUACUCAGUACGGAAUAUGAUUGUUUGAUCUCUAUAUUGUUUAGUGCAAGGUGAGAUUAUUGAUUAACUCAUCUUAAUUUUCCGGAUUUGAAGUUUGCAUUAGUCUACUUUUGAAGUGGUUUUUUUCACUAAAAAAUAAAUUUGUAAUACGCAGUUGAAUAUUUUCCGAUCCACCGGACUAAAACCCGGAUCGAACCGGAAUUACCAGGUACGGACCGAACAUGACCGGGAUUAUUCCGGUCCGGUCUCCGCACGCAGAAAAUUCGACAUUCUGGAUCCGGACCAUUCGGGUUCCGGUCCGGACCGUCCCGGUUCUAGACCGGUGCACAGUCCUACCAGCACCAGCAACAACAACUUCGAUUCCUUCCUCUGUUUUACAGUGGAACCUCCUUUACAAGUUCUUGAGUUCUGGCCAACUUGCUUACACUUCACAAUGGUGUUUCUUCCCCCCCUUUUCUUCUCAUGAGCACCCAUUCUUCUCUGCUUGGCUGGUCUGCCAGCUGCUCUUCUCAUUAGUGGGGGGAGAAUCAUAGGUAGGUCAAAUGUGGGCCACUGUGUUGAGUCAGGCAUGGGGUGAAUAUGUUCUGAGUAUGUGAGCUUAUAGGUUGCCCCUUUGAAGUAUGGAGAAACAAAGUCAGUAGGCUUGAGUCUUUGAUGGUAUAUGACCUUAAGAGCAUGCUUGCAAGGUAUAUCACACCCUUGCCAUUUACCACAACCACACACUCCAACAUCUAGUUGAUAUGUUCAUAUUUUGUAGUGUUUUUACCCCCGUCCCUUAGUACUUUUUGAUCUCAAAUGAGCUCUUCGGAGCGAUUUUUAGUACUAAUGUGCUCCUUGUAGUGUGUUUGUAGUUUCAGGUUCAUCAUUGUAGGAAUUAGCAUAUUUUUGUGCAUUUCCUACUCAUUGGAAUCAAUACAAGAGAUUAUGUACUUUCGAGAGCACAAACAUUAAGUUGGAAGAGUUUUGAAGCAAAGCGAAUAACGAAAGAAGUAGAAAAAUGACUAUAGUCCACUAUUAUAAUCAUAACUCAAGUUCUACAACUCCAAAUGAAGUAAUUCCAAUUGGGUUGGAUUCUAGACUUCAAUAGCUUUCCAAAAAGUGGUUACUCGCCUAAUUCCGACGAAUAACGAAGGAGAUAUGGCGUUUUGAAGAUUGAGGAUCGUGCAGUUUCGACACGCGCCCGAUCGGGCGGUCAUUCUGGGCGCUGUUCUGGGCAUUUCGCAACCGCCCGAUCGGGCGAAAUUUCGCCCGAUCUGGCCGACUAUCGAGCAGUUUGCCCUAUCGGGCGAAGCGCCGCCCGAUCGGGUGACGCCAACCCUGAUGCUUUUUCGCGUUUUUUCUUUCCGGUUUUUGGCUUGUAUUUUGGGCAAACUAUAAAUACUAGCCCUUUAUUUUUAGUAGACACUUUAUAUUCUAGUAUUGAACCUUAGUAUUAUUUUCCUUAGCCUAGUUUUCUCUCUAAUUUAUGCAAAAACACUUAGUUUAAUUCUCAAUAAAAAUUCAAGCUUUCAAUUC